RNAcentral lists this long non-coding RNA (708 nucleotides) under Cricetulus griseus (Chinese hamster). RNAcentral describes it as "lncRNA (ENSCGRG00015040988.1)". The record is from RNAcentral. Lineage: Eukaryota; Metazoa; Chordata; Mammalia; Rodentia; Cricetidae.
UUUUGCCUGUAAGAUGUCGGAAUCUCAGUUACUACUCCAACACCAUGUCUGUCUGCAGGCUGCCAUGCUCCCUGCCAUGGUGAUAAUGGAUUGAACCUCUGAAAAUGGUUGGUCAGUUUGAAGACAUACAGAAUGGUUGAUUGGUCUGAAAUUGGCCUGUGAUGCAUCCUCAUCCAGUUUUCAACUUGUUGAGGCAGUCCAUCAGCAGGGGCCCUGCUGGUGGGAGACAGAAGCUCCCACACUGUCUCCCCUAUCUCUGAAGUUCACAACCUUUACUACCUAGCCAGGACCCAUCAUCUCCUUAUCUGUCUGCACCAGAUCCUGCAGGGAAGGAAGCAAAGAGAGGCAAGCGUCCAAACAAUCCAAGAGCCAACAUCCCUGGGCUGCCCUCCUGCUCUGAGCUCGUGGCACUCGACUUCCUCAACUGAAAGGAGGAACCGUCGCAGGCAGGCUUACAGUGUGCGUCCUCCCCAGCAUCCUGCUCCAGGGUCCAAAGCCAGACUACACCUGUGUCCCGCGGACACCCCGCAGGGACCCUGCAGCUGCUAGGCUACGUGGACUGCCCUGCAGUGCUAUGGCUCAGGCCCGCAGCGAGCCUCGCGGGCUUCUGGCCUGAGGUCCACCCCCAGCCACAGGCCACUGCCCGGGAGCCACCCCUUGUUUUCAUAAAACACACGCCCAGUCGUUGUGCACAUUUGCUAGUUGUCC